This 21-nucleotide non-coding RNA is filed under the name Caenorhabditis elegans. The record is from RNAcentral. Lineage: Eukaryota; Metazoa; Nematoda; Chromadorea; Rhabditida; Rhabditidae.
UUUGUGUAAGAAGUAUUGCUA